RNAcentral lists this ribosomal RNA (258 nucleotides) under uncultured bacterium. RNAcentral describes it as "partial 16S ribosomal RNA". The record is from RNAcentral.
CUGCUGCCUUCCGUAGGAGUUUGGGCCGUGUCUCAGUCCCAAUGUGGCCGUCCACCCUCUCAGGCCGGCUACUGAUCGCUGCCUUGGUGGGCCGUUACCCCGCCAACUAGCUAAUCAGACGCGGAUCCAUCGUAUACCACCGGAGUUUUUCACACUGCCCCAUGCGGAGCCGUGCGCUUAUGCGGUAUUAGCACCUAUUUCUAAGUGUUAUCCCCCGGUAUACGGCAGGUUAUCCACGCGUUACUCACCCGUCCGCCA